Oreochromis niloticus (Nile tilapia) is the source of this 1539-nucleotide long non-coding RNA. RefSeq lists it as uncharacterized. NCBI's taxonomy places the organism in Eukaryota, Metazoa, Chordata, Actinopteri, Cichliformes, Cichlidae. The transcript is spliced from 6 exons. The record is from RefSeq and is a predicted model, not a curated record.
GAAAUGACACACUGAUGUUGUUAGCAUUAUGUAAAUGUUUUAUGUUAAAACUAAUGCCACCAAUUGAUUUUUAACUUUAAACACAAGUAUGUUGUUUUGAAUUUAAUUAACAACACAAUAUUUCAAUACAACAAAAUUCAGUAAAUUAAAUCCAACGUAAAAAGUUCAUUUAAAAUGAAGAGCACUUUAAUUUAAAGAGGAUUGUCCUAAUAGGCUCUCCGUACUUCUGAGUUUGCACAUGUGCAGUGUGGAAGUUUGAUCAUCCGCCAUUUUCAACUGAGACUUGCAUGUGCUUAGUAUCCUGGAUAGAAUCCAUCGCCAUCUGAGGAUUAUUUGGUGAGACUUGCCUACUAAGACUGAUAGUUUUAAAAUUACUCCCAACAUCUACCGCACCUGCUGCCUGACAUCAGUAAUGACCGCCGGGAGCGCCAGCGAUCCUGUAGUUUGAAGAAUGAAAUGUUGGUUAGCUAGUUCUGUCUCUCAAUAGAUGCAACAAAAGUGGCUCAGAUGUGGUUGUUUUAAAUGUGGAAGUGCAGACAGUGUGCUGAAAGUGUUUUGACAAGAAUCCCAGCAUUGAUGUUCGACGGGAAUGCAUUCUGAAAGCUGUCUGUGUCUACUUAAAUGAAAAGCCAGAUGACCUGUUCAAGGAAUUCUUAGAUGUGGAUCUUGGUGCAAGCAGAGAAACGGAGCAGCUGACUUUGGGAGUCUAUGUUGUCAGACAUGAAGGAGCAGACUCUGCAGAUACACCUGAGGACAUUGGUGUCAUCAUAGAAGGAUGCACUGUGCUGCGAGCUCUUAGUGAUGUGGCAAAGGGGUGUGCCCUCCUGCUUGGACUAAUCUACAGUCUAAAUCUGAGCUACCCAAAGCACCUGAAAUACACAUUUGAAUUUCUUCAGAAGGUGCUGAUGGAGUUGGAUGGGAACAACCUAUCCAUGAAGGUGCAGGUUCUGAAAAACAAACUGCUUGAGUGAAACAGCCUGCACUGAACUAUAGAGGACACUGAACUUUAAGGUUCUCGAACCCUUCUCCUUGCACUUCAUAAACUGUUCAGUUUGAAUUGCCGCACGAACUUCUGCAAGCCUUUCACUUUUCUGCGUUCUUUGUUCUUGAACCUUUACCAACAUCCAACUACACUGAAAAAGAUUGCUCCUAACUUUGGACUUCAGUUUAAGUUUUGAAGCAAAGGUUAUUUUUCUAAAUAUGGACAAAAAUGACACUAAAGUAAUUUCUACCUGCUGUUUGUAGGGCUGUAUUGUGGGAUUUUCAUUGUAGCCCAGUCAAGUUUAAAAUAAGUCAUGUUAAUGUUAAAAAUGUUAGAAUCACAACACUUUCCAGUUUUAAUCAUUUCGGUUUAGCAUGACAUUCUGUAUCUUGUCUUUCUGCACUUAUAAUGCACUUGAAUAUAUGUAAAGAUUGUUUAUGAAAAAAGAUCUAAAAGCAUUUGAAUUACUCAAAGUGUUUACACACAAGUUUUACACAAAGUAUUAUUAAAGUUAGGUUAACUGAACAAACUUGUGUUCGAUUUAUUUAAUUUACAAA